GGGUUGUGAGGUUAAGCGACUAAGCGUACACGGUGGAUGCCCUGGCAGUCAGAGGCGAUGAAGGACGUGCUAAUCUGCGAUAAGCGUCGGUGAGGUGAUAUGAACCGUUAUAACCGGCGAUUUCCGAAUGGGGAAACCCAGUGUGUUUCGACACACUAUCAUUAACUGAAUCCAUAGGUUAAUGAGGCGAACCGGGGGAACUGAAACAUCUAAGUACCCCGAGGAAAAGAAAUCAACCGAGAUUCCCCCAGUAGCGGCGAGCGAACGGGGAGGAGCCCAGAGCCUGAAUCAGUGUGUGUGUUAGUGGAAGCGUCUGGAAAGGCGCGCGAUACAGGGUGACAGCCCCGUACACAAAAAUGCACAUAUUGUGAGCUCGAUGAGUAGGGCGGGACACGUGGUAUCCUGUCUGAAUAUGGGGGGACCAUCCUCCAAGGCUAAAUACUCCUGACUGACCGAUAGUGAACCAGUACCGUGAGGGAAAGGCGAAAAGAACCCCGGCGAGGGGAGUGAAAAAGAACCUGAAACCGUGUACGUACAAGCAGUGGGAGCCUCUUAAUGGGGUGACUGCGUACCUUUUGUAUAAUGGGUCAGCGACUUAUAUUCUGUAGCAAGGUUAACCG
This 620-nucleotide ribosomal RNA is filed under the name Escherichia coli. RNAcentral's name for it is "partial 23S ribosomal RNA". It matches the Rfam family "Bacterial large subunit ribosomal RNA", at positions 1 to 652 of the family's 2925-position model. The record is from RNAcentral. Lineage: Bacteria; Pseudomonadati; Pseudomonadota; Gammaproteobacteria; Enterobacterales; Enterobacteriaceae.